RNAcentral lists this ribosomal RNA (301 nucleotides) under uncultured bacterium. RNAcentral describes it as "partial 16S ribosomal RNA". It matches the Rfam family "Bacterial small subunit ribosomal RNA", at positions 509 to 807 of the family's 1533-position model. The record is from RNAcentral.
CAGUAGCCGCGGGAAUACGAAGGGGGCUAGCGUUGCUCGGAAUCACUGGGCGUAAAGGGUGCGUAGGCGGGUCUUUAAGUCAGGGGUGAAAUCCUGGAGCUCAACUCCAGAACUGCCUUUGAUACUGAAGAUCUUGAGUUCGGGAGAGGUGAGUGGAACUGCGAGUGUAGAGGUGAAAUUCGUAGAUAUUCGCAAGAACACCAGUGGCGAAGGCGGCUCACUGGCCCGAUACUGACGCUGAGGCACGAAAGCGUGGGGAGCAAACAGGAUUAGAUACCCCUGUAGUCCCUGUCUCUUAUAC